Molecule: ribosomal RNA, 255 nt
Filed under: uncultured bacterium
Lineage: Bacteria
Description: partial 16S ribosomal RNA
Rfam family: Bacterial small subunit ribosomal RNA
Source: RNAcentral
UACGUAGGCAGCGAGCGUUGUUCGGAGUUACUGGGCGUAAAGGGUGUGUAGGCGGUUGUUUUAAGUUUGGUGUGAAAUCUCCCGGCUCAACUGGGAGGGUGCGCCGAAUACUGAAUGACUUCGAGUGCGGGAGAGGAGAGUGGAAUUCCUGGUGUAGCGGUGAAAUGCGUAGAUAUCAGGAGGAACACCGGUGGUGUAGACGGCUCUCUGGACCGUAACUGACGCUGAGACACGAAAGCGUGGGUAGCAAACAGG